This 67-nucleotide transfer RNA is filed under the name Scolytinae sp. BMNH 1040331. Its description in RNAcentral is "tRNA-Tyr". It matches the Rfam family "tRNA". Rfam says of the family: Transfer RNA (tRNA) molecules are approximately 80 nucleotides in length. Their secondary structure includes four short double-helical elements and three loops (D, anti-codon, and T loops). Further hydrogen bonds mediate the characteristic L-shaped molecular structure. tRNAs have two regions of fundamental functional importance: the anti-codon, which is responsible for specific mRNA codon recognition, and the 3' end, to which the tRNAs corresponding amino acid is attached (by aminoacyl-tRNA synthetases). tRNAs cope with the degeneracy of the genetic code in two manners: having more than one tRNA (with a specific anti-codon) for a particular amino acid; and 'wobble' base-pairing, i.e. permitting non-standard base-pairing at the 3rd anti-codon position. The record is from RNAcentral. Lineage: Eukaryota; Metazoa; Arthropoda; Insecta; Coleoptera; Curculionidae.
GGUAAAAUGGCUGAAAAUAAGGCGAUAAAUUGUAAAUUUAUAUAUAAAGUAUGAACUUUUUUUACUA